Molecule: ribosomal RNA, 1258 nt
Filed under: Candidatus Phytoplasma trifolii
Lineage: Bacteria; Bacillati; Mycoplasmatota; Mollicutes; Acholeplasmatales; Acholeplasmataceae
Also listed under: 1 other name
Description: bacterial SSU rRNA
Rfam family: Bacterial small subunit ribosomal RNA
Source: RNAcentral
GAUUGAAACGACUGCUAAGACUGGAUAGGAAACCAAAAGGCAUCUUUUUGUUUUUAAAAGACCUUCUUACGAAGGUAUGCUUAAAGAGGGGCUUGCGCCACAUUAGUUAGUUGGUAGGGUAAAAGCCUACCAAGACGAUGAUGUGUAGCUGGACUGAGAGGUUGAACAGCCACAUUGGGACUGAGACACGGCCCAAACUCCUACGGGAGGCAGCAGUAGGGAAUUUUCGGCAAUGGAGGAAACUCUGACCGAGCAACGCCGCGUGAACGAUGAAGUAUUUCGGUAUGUAAAGUUCUUUUAUUGAAGAAGAAAAAGUAGUGGAAAAACUAUAUUGACGUUAUUCAAUGAAUAAGCCCCGGCUAACUAUGUGCCAGCAGCCGCGGUAAGACAUAGGGGGCGAGCGUUAUCCGGAAUUAUUGGGCGUAAAGGGUGCGUAGGCUGUUAGAUAAGUCUAUAAUUUAAUUUCAGUGCUUAACGCUGUCUUGUUAUAGAAACUGUCUUGACUAGAGUGAGAUAGAGGCAAGCGGAAUUCCAUGUGUAGCGGUAAAAUGUGUAAAUAUAUGGAGGAACACCAGAAGCGUAGGCGGCUUGCUGGGUCUUUACUGACGCUGAGGCACAAAAGCGUGGGUAGCAAACAGGAUUAGAUACCCUGGUAGUCCACGCCGUAAACGAUGAGUACUAAGUGUCGGGGUAAAACUCGGUACUGAAGUUAACACAUUAAGUACUCCGCCUGAGUAGUACGUACGCAAGUAUGAAACUUAAAGGAAUUGACGGGACUCCGCACAAGCGGUGGAUCAUGUUGUUUAAUUCGAAGAUACACGAAAAAUCUUACCAGGUCUUGACAUACUCUGCAAAGCUAUAGAAACAUAGUGGAGGUUAUCAGGGAUACAGGUGGUGCAUGGUUGUCGUCAGUUCGUGUCGUGAGAUGUUAGGUUAAGUCCUAAAACGAGCGCAACCCUUGUCGUUAAUUGCCAGCACGUAAUGGUGGGGACUUUAGCGAGACUGCCAAUUAAACAUUGGAGGAAGGUGAGGAUUACGUCAAAUCAUCAUGCCCCUUAUGAUCUGGGCUACAAACGUGAUACAAUGGCUGUGACAAAGAGUAGCUGAAACGCGAGUUUUUAGCCAAUCUCAAAAAAGCAGUCUCAGUUCGGAUUGAAGUCUGUAACUCGACUUCAUGAAGUUGGAAUCGCUAGUAAUCGCGAAUCAGCAUGUCGCGGUGAAUACGUUCACGGGGUUUGUACACACCGCCCGUCAAAUC